Molecule: ribosomal RNA, 235 nt
Filed under: uncultured bacterium
Lineage: Bacteria
Description: partial 16S ribosomal RNA
Rfam family: Bacterial small subunit ribosomal RNA
Source: RNAcentral
UGGCGGACGGGUGAGUAAUGUCUGGGAAACUGCCCGAUGGAGGGGGAUAACUACUGGAAACGGUAGCUAAUACCGCAUAACGUCGCAAGACCAAAGCGGGGGACCUCCGGGCCUCGCGCCAUCAGAUGAACCCAUAUGGGAUUAGCUAGUAGGUAAGGUAACGGCUUACCUAGGCGACGAUCCCUAGCUGGUCUGAGAGGAUGAUCAGCCACACUGGAACUGAGACACGGCCCAG